ACUAAUUUUUCACUUUUCGUCUUAUUAAAAAAAUUUACGAUUAAUAUUUUUGUUUUUAUUAGAUGAUAAAUCAUGAAUAAUACUUUAUGUGUGACUAAUUUUUUUCUAAUUUUUUAAAAAAAUUUAAAUAAAACGAAUGGUCAAACGUCGAACACGAAAACCGAAG
Molecule: microRNA precursor, 166 nt
Filed under: Oryza brachyantha (malo sina)
Lineage: Eukaryota; Viridiplantae; Streptophyta; Magnoliopsida; Poales; Poaceae
Description: MIR812 microRNA precursor family
Rfam family: MIR812 microRNA precursor family
Source: Rfam by way of RNAcentral